Molecule: transfer RNA, 76 nt
Filed under: Acidobacteriota bacterium
Lineage: Bacteria; Pseudomonadati; Acidobacteriota
Description: Acidobacteria bacterium (freshwater sediment metagenome) tRNA-Cys
Rfam family: tRNA
About the family: Transfer RNA (tRNA) molecules are approximately 80 nucleotides in length. Their secondary structure includes four short double-helical elements and three loops (D, anti-codon, and T loops). Further hydrogen bonds mediate the characteristic L-shaped molecular structure. tRNAs have two regions of fundamental functional importance: the anti-codon, which is responsible for specific mRNA codon recognition, and the 3' end, to which the tRNAs corresponding amino acid is attached (by aminoacyl-tRNA synthetases). tRNAs cope with the degeneracy of the genetic code in two manners: having more than one tRNA (with a specific anti-codon) for a particular amino acid; and 'wobble' base-pairing, i.e. permitting non-standard base-pairing at the 3rd anti-codon position.
Source: RNAcentral
GGCGCCGUACCCAAGUGGCUAAGGGAGAGGUCUGCAAAACCUCGAUUCAGCGGUUCGAGUCCGCUCGGCGCCUCCA